AGAGUUUGAUCCUGGCUCAGGACGAACGCUGGCGGCGUGCUUAACACAUGCAAGUCGAACGGAAAGGCCCUUUCGGGGGUACUCGAGUGGCGAACGGGUGAGUAACACGUGGGUGAUCUGCCCUGCACUUCGGGAUAAGCUUGGGAAACUGGGUCUAAUACCGGAUAGGACUACGGCCUGCAUGGGUUGUGGUGGAGAGCUUUUGCGGUGUGGGAUGGGCCCGCGGCCUAUCAGCUUGUUGGUGGGGUGAUGGCCUACCAAGGCGACGACGGGUAGCCGGCCUGAGAGGGUGUCCGGCCACACUGGGACUGAGAUACGGCCCAGACUCCUACGGGAGGCAGCAGUGGGGAAUAUUGCACAAUGGGCGCAAGCCUGAUGCAGCGACGCCGCGUGGGGGAUGACGGCCUUCGGGUUGUAAACCUCUUUCAGCAGGGACGAAGCGCAAGUGACGGUACCUGCAGAAGAAGCAC
Molecule: ribosomal RNA, 470 nt
Filed under: uncultured bacterium
Lineage: Bacteria
Description: bacterial SSU rRNA
Rfam family: Bacterial small subunit ribosomal RNA
Source: RNAcentral